RNAcentral lists this ribosomal RNA (667 nucleotides) under uncultured bacterium. Its description in RNAcentral is "bacterial SSU rRNA". It matches the Rfam family "Bacterial small subunit ribosomal RNA", at positions 690 to 1362 of the family's 1533-position model. The record is from RNAcentral.
AUAGAUAUUGCUUAGAACACCAAUUGCGAAGGCAGGUUACUCAGCAACAACUGACGCUGAUGGACGACAGCGUGGGGAGCGAACAGGAUUAGAUACCCUGGUAGUCCACGCCGUAAACGAUGCUAACUCGUUUGUGGGGCGCAAGCUUCAGAGACUAAGCGAAAGUGAUAAGUUAGCCACCUGGGGAGUACGAACGCAAGUUUGAAACUCAAAGGAAUUGACGGGGGCCCGCACAAGCGGUGGAUUAUGUGGUUUAAUUCGAUGAUACGCGAGGAACCUUACCAAGGCUUAAAUGGNNGAAAUGACAGGUUUAGAAAUAGACUUUUCUUCGGACAUUUUUCAAGGUGCUGCAUGGUUGUCGUCAGCUCGUGCCGUGAGGUGUUAGGUUAAGUCCUGCAACGAGCGCAACCCCUGUCACUAGUUGCCAUCAUUAAGUUGGGGACUCUAGUGAGACUGCCUACGCAAGUAGAGAGGAAGGUGGGGAUGACGUCAAAUCAUCACGGCCCUUACGCCUUGGGCCACACACGUAAUACAAUGGCCGGUACAGAGGGCAGCUACACAGCGAUGUGAUGCAAAUCUCGAAAGCCGGUCUCAGUUCGGAUUGGAGUCUGCAACUAGACUCUAUGAAGCUGGAAUCGCUAGUAAUCGCGCAUCAGCCAUGGCGCGG